Molecule: long non-coding RNA, 1017 nt
Filed under: Toxoplasma gondii VEG
Lineage: Eukaryota; Apicomplexa; Conoidasida; Eucoccidiorida; Sarcocystidae
Source: RNAcentral
GACUAUAGCAGUGACCUAUUUACGUGUUAAACGUCGAUACGCGCGAACCAUCGAUAUACUUGGAUGCAUAGCAAAUUAUCCUGACUGAUUCUUUGCUUCUUCUCAAUGCCAUGUUGUUUCCUCUAGAGGAAGGGUGCAGUUGCCGUUCUCUCUCUACCGUGCCCAAGGCCGACACUGGAACCCAUGAAUCGUUGGACCUCUGUUGUCAGUACCAGCGUCUAAGGUGAUAUGCGGCUCACAGGGAGAUGCUCCUGACUGCGGUAGAGCAUCGCUGGCGCUACACGCAGCGCCCAGUGUUGUCCGUAGAAGUUCUGCUCAACCGCCUUUCUCACACGACCAACAAAAUGCGGCGUUAGACAUCACAGGAGUGACGAUGUUACGUAAGAUUCGAAUGUCGUGCGGGGCUCGCCCCCUUACUUCUACCGAUCACUGUGUAAAGGUAGGUUUCCACCAUCGAUUCAUCGUACGAUCUUACGAUCGCUGACAAAUAAUGUGGAGACUAAGGUUGUACAGACAUGGUGCAGUUGACCACCGGCUGGAACGUCAAUCUAUCUGGCUGCAUCCUUCCGCGCCAACGCUUCCUGAUUUUCAAGUCUGUUGAUUUUCAAAGAAAAUAAUUUAAGGACUUGAGAGAGGCGUGCGCAGAGCAUCAACAACAAUGGCAGCCUGCAAAACGCAGCGGACAGCCCCAGAUGGUGUGAAAGGCCAGAAUUCUGGCCAGCGUAUCGAGACUGUGCUCGAAGAGGUUCUUCACUCAUGAUUUCGACCUUCGCAUGUGUCUGUCCUCGUGCAACAGUCCCUGUCCACGUGCCUGACUUAUCCCUGUCACUCACCUCUUUCGGGUCACGGACAGCUACGCGUAUGUAUGUUGGCCUCUGGUAGCCGUGUGCUCCCCAACGUAUUGGCACACCUCUUGUCCUGCAUGUUUCCACGUAGAAGCGUGCGGCGUUGGAACAUUUCGUGUCAAUCCAUACGAACGGCAGCCACCUGCAAAAACAAUCCACAAAGCAAUUCGCC